ACGGUCACAUAGCGUUGAAACACCUGUUCCAGUACGAUGAUUGAAGUUAAGCAACGUCGAGCCUGGCAAGUCCCUAGAUGAGUGACCGCUUGGGAAUACCAGGUACUGUAUG
Acanthosepion pharaonis is the source of this 112-nucleotide non-coding RNA. The record is from the annotation of a GenBank genome assembly. Lineage: Eukaryota; Metazoa; Mollusca; Cephalopoda; Sepiida; Sepiidae.